Molecule: ribosomal RNA, 455 nt
Filed under: Streptococcus mitis
Lineage: Bacteria; Bacillati; Bacillota; Bacilli; Lactobacillales; Streptococcaceae
Description: bacterial SSU rRNA
Rfam family: Bacterial small subunit ribosomal RNA
Source: RNAcentral
GACGAACGCUGGCGGCGUGCCUAAUACAUGCAAGUAGAACGCUGAAGGAGGAGCUUGCUUCUCCGGAUGAGUUGCGAACGGGUGAGUAACGCGUAGGUAACCUGCCUGGUAGCGGGGGAUAACUAUUGGAAACGAUAGCUAAUACCGCAUAAGAGUAGAUGUUGCAUGACAUUUGCUUAAAAGGUGCAAUUGCAUCACUACCAGAUGGACCUGCGUUGUAUUAGCUAGUUGGUGGGGUAACGGCUCACCAAGGCGACGAUACAUAGCCGACCUGAGAGGGUGAUCGGCCACACUGGGACUGAGACACGGCCCAGACUCCUACGGGAGGCAGCAGUAGGGAAUCUUCGGCAAUGGACGGAAGUCUGACCGAGCAACGCCGCGUGAGUGAAGAAGGUUUUCGGAUCGUAAAGCUCUGUUGUAAGAGAAGAACGAGUGUGAGAGCGGAAAGUUCACAC